ACCCCGAUUCUUUCUGGAACAAGGUUAAUGGUUCUUAAUGAUAACCAUUAGAUGCCACAAAGUUUGCACUCACCUUCAUUGCUUCAUACAAGCAUCAAAGUUUUAAAUUAUAUUUCCAUGUUUAAGAUACUUUAGAUUUAUCUACAUUAUUAUUAUUAUUAUUAUUUUGAGAACAAAGAGGGAUGGAAUUCAUCUAGAAUUGGGUGACUUCACCAACUAACCUACUUGGCACCUC
This 235-nucleotide long non-coding RNA is filed under the name Phoenix dactylifera (date palm). Its description in RNAcentral is "long non-coding RNA (PDAC_LNC004888)". The record is from RNAcentral. Lineage: Eukaryota; Viridiplantae; Streptophyta; Magnoliopsida; Arecales; Arecaceae.